CUUAUUCUAUUUAAUAUAUUUUUCUUAGUUUUUAAAAAUAUAUAUAGUCUAUAUAUAGGUACUAUAGUCUAUAAAAAACGAACUCUUUUUAACACAAGAUUUGUUUUUAAAAAGAAAAUCAAUGCAUAAUUUAUUUAAUUUUAUUUCUAUUGUUAAUAUCACUUAUAAAUUGUAAUCUAGAGUUUGAUACUACAUUCGACCAUCACUCAUAGUCAUACCUAUACUCGUAAGUGUUAUUAAUAGAGAGUACCUUCACGAUUGUGAAUAGGUAAUAUAGUACGUACCUACUGCACUAUACUCAUGCAUUUAACUAUAAAUUGUUGUUAGUUUUUUAAUGGAUCUGUAGCAGUUACAAUGGAAUGUUACAAAGAUUCGAUUCCAGAAAGCUACUAUUUUAUUUAUAAAACAAAUUAAUAAAGUUGUGGAUACUAUGAAUUCACAGCUACCAAAAUGUACCUUAUGAUCGGAUCCUGUAUCUAUUCACAACAAAUUAAAAUUGAAUUCAAAGUAGUUUUCAAAAUUUAGAUUUUAAAAAGCAUUUUAUAACUGGUUAGGUCAGGUCCGGAUUUAGGGAGGUACAACGGAUACAAUUUCACCGGGCGGCUAUAGUUUUUAGGAGCAGUAGUAAAAGAGAAUUACUACAAUAUCUCUGAAAAAGUUGGAUACAAGUAUUUAAUGACUAGACAACUGACAAAUCAACAUAUGAAUAAAUUGUUAUAAUUACUGUAAGCCAAACUUAUGGAUAAUCUUCUAUUAAAUUUUCAACUCUUAUAACUAGAUAGAGCAGAUUCCUGGAAGUCUUUGCACAUCAAAUUUGAAUACUGCGUGUCAAUUACUGCAGAUUACGGUACUGGCGAUUAUGGUCUAUGAAAAUGUUUUAACAAAAUUUGAUAAUAAUGGAGGAUGGGCAGAGGAAGGAAGUAUAAGCAAGCAGCACCAAACAAAAUGAAAAUUAAACGUAAAAGAAAUAAAUAUAAACAAAAUAUUGGUACAUUUUCAUGUUGCACAAUUAAUAUUGAUUAUAAGCACAGGAAACUUAUGUUCCAUCUUUUAAUAAUGUUUUUCUGUUAUGUAAACAAA
Long non-coding RNA from Aphis gossypii (cotton aphid), 1080 nucleotides. RefSeq lists it as uncharacterized. The record is from RefSeq and is a predicted model, not a curated record. The transcript is spliced from 4 exons. Lineage: Eukaryota; Metazoa; Arthropoda; Insecta; Hemiptera; Aphididae.